This 775-nucleotide ribosomal RNA is filed under the name uncultured Neocallimastigales. RNAcentral describes it as "partial large subunit ribosomal RNA". It matches the Rfam family "Eukaryotic large subunit ribosomal RNA", at positions 23 to 616 of the family's 3401-position model. The record is from RNAcentral. Lineage: Eukaryota; Fungi; Neocallimastigomycota; Neocallimastigomycetes; Neocallimastigales.
AGAGAGAGACAUGCGCGCAUAUCAAUAAGCGGAGGAAAAGAAACUAACAAGGAUUCCCCUAGUAACGGCGAGUGAAGCGGGAAGAGCUCAAAUUUGAAAUCUUAAAGGGUUUCCCUUUACGAAUUGUAGUUUAAAGAAGUGUUUUCUGUUGAGGUUUUGGUAAAAGUUCUUUGGAAUAGGACAUCAUAGAGGGUGAGAAUCCCGUAUUUGACCUUUACUUUCAACUUUGUGAUACACUUUCAAAGAGUCGGACUGUUUGGGAAUGCAGUCCAAAAUGGGUGGUAAAUUUCAUCUAAAGCUAAAUAUUGGCGAGAGACCGAUAGCGAACAAGUACCGUGAGGGAAAGAUGAAAAGAACUUUGAAAAGAGAGUUAAACAGUACGUGAAAUUGUCAAAAGGGAAGCGUUUGACACCAGUGUUGUUUUUCUGAAAAUCAAUUUAAAGAACUGUUUAUGCUAAGUUGUUUAGACUUUAUCAGCUAACUGUUUAGUUUUGAGCUUUUCUUUAAUGCACUUUUCAGUUAACAAGUCAACAUCAAUUUCUUUUGCUGUAAAAAAGCUUGAGGAAGGUGGCUUGAGAUUCGUCUUAAGUGUUUAUAGCCUCUUGCCUAUGCAGUCGGAGAGAUUGAGGUCUGCAGCGUAGAUCCUUCGGGGCUAAAUGCAUUUGUGCUAAGUUAUAGCAUUUUAUAGACAACUUGUUGACUAUGAUUUGUCUUGUAGCUUACUCGCUUAUGUUAUUUUACCUACGCUUAGGAUGUUGAGCGCAUGUCUCUCUCU